Molecule: non-coding RNA, 93 nt
Organism: Coprinopsis sp. MPI-PUGE-AT-0042
Lineage: Eukaryota; Fungi; Basidiomycota; Agaricomycetes; Agaricales; Psathyrellaceae
Source: the annotation of a GenBank genome assembly
GCCUCCUUAGCUCAGCUGGUAGAGCGCGUCACUUGUAUCUUCUCGUCGAAGUGUGGAUGACGAGGGUCAGUCGUUCGAGUCGGCUAGGGGGCA